UUUUUUUUUGUUUAUUUGUUUUUUCCUACUGUACAGCAUGGUGACCCGGUUACCUUACAUGUGUGCAUUCAUUUUUCUCACGUUACGUGUUCCAUCGUAAGUGCCUUCGGGAUGGAUUAGCAAUGGGAUCCUUCUUUUUAUCAUUGGGAACUCUGUCUAGUCACUUAUGAUGGUAUGUCUUUUUCUACUCCUCUUCCCUGCUUUGUUAGAAGGCUGAUUGAUGGCUGGACCUCAAGCAGAGAUCUUGAACCAAGAGCUGGCAGUCACAGGUGGAGGAUGGUGUGAAAACAGUAUCGAAAGAGACUAGGUUUUUCGUUUUGUUUUGUUUUGUUUUCUGCAGGUGGCAUUUUUAUUUUUUAGACCUUUUUCCUGACAGUUUUACCAAAAUAUAAUUGAAACACAGCACGAUAAGUUUAAGGUGUUCAGUGUAAUGAUUUCACUUGCAUUUAUCAUGAAAAGAUUAUCACAGGAAAUUUAGUAAACAUUUGUCUCAUAAGGUACAAAGUGAAAUAAAAUAUUUCCUUGUGAUAAGGACUCUUAGGAUUUACCCUAUUUUUGUAUAUAACAUACAGUAGCGUUAAUUAUACGUAUCAUGUUGUACAUUACACCCCUUUUCCUGAUCUUUUUUUAUUACUCAAUGAAUUUAUUACAUUUAUAGUUAUACAGUGAUCAUCACAACCCAAUUUUAGAGCAUUUCUAUCCCAAACCCCCAGCACAUCCCCUACCCCCCAACCGAUAUCCUUUGGAAACCAUACGUUUUUCAAAGUCCGUGAGUCAGUAUCUGUUCUGCAAAGAAGUUCAGUGUGUCCUUUUUUUCAGAUUGCACAUGUCAGUGAUAGCAUUUGAUGUUGGUGUCUCAUUGUUUGACUGAUUUCACUUAGCAUGAUAAUUUCUAGGUCCAUCCAUGUUGCUGCAAAUGGCAUCAUUUCUUUGCUUUUAAUGGCUGAGUAAUGUUCCAUUGUGUAUAUGUACUACAUCUUCUUGAUCCACUUCUCUGUCGAUGGGCAUUUAGGUUGUUUCCAUGUCUUGGCUAUUGUAUAGAGUGCUGC
This 1049-nucleotide long non-coding RNA is filed under the name Sus scrofa (pig). Its description in RNAcentral is "lncRNA (ENSSSCG00025042320.1)". The record is from RNAcentral. Lineage: Eukaryota; Metazoa; Chordata; Mammalia; Artiodactyla; Suidae.